This 86-nucleotide transfer RNA is filed under the name Paracraurococcus ruber. RNAcentral describes it as "tRNA-Leu". It matches the Rfam family "tRNA". Rfam says of the family: Transfer RNA (tRNA) molecules are approximately 80 nucleotides in length. Their secondary structure includes four short double-helical elements and three loops (D, anti-codon, and T loops). Lineage: Bacteria; Pseudomonadati; Pseudomonadota; Alphaproteobacteria; Acetobacterales; Roseomonadaceae. The record is from RNAcentral.
GAGGGCGUGGCGGAAUGGCAGACGCAGGAGACUUAAAAUCUCUCGGGCACCAGCCCAUGCGGGUUCGAGUCCCGCCGCCCUCACCA